AAGGGUAUAGCUCAAACGGUAGAGCACAUGCUUAGCAUGCACAAGGUCCUAGGUUCAAUCCCCAGUGCCUCCU
This 73-nucleotide transfer RNA is filed under the name Camelus bactrianus (Bactrian camel). It matches the Rfam family "tRNA". From Rfam's summary of the family: Transfer RNA (tRNA) molecules are approximately 80 nucleotides in length. Their secondary structure includes four short double-helical elements and three loops (D, anti-codon, and T loops). Further hydrogen bonds mediate the characteristic L-shaped molecular structure. tRNAs have two regions of fundamental functional importance: the anti-codon, which is responsible for specific mRNA codon recognition, and the 3' end, to which the tRNAs corresponding amino acid is attached (by aminoacyl-tRNA synthetases). tRNAs cope with the degeneracy of the genetic code in two manners: having more than one tRNA (with a specific anti-codon) for a particular amino acid; and 'wobble' base-pairing, i.e. permitting non-standard base-pairing at the 3rd anti-codon position. The record is from Rfam by way of RNAcentral. Lineage: Eukaryota; Metazoa; Chordata; Mammalia; Artiodactyla; Camelidae. RNAcentral also lists the same sequence under 1 other name.